Molecule: small nuclear RNA, 107 nt
Filed under: Prolemur simus (greater bamboo lemur)
Lineage: Eukaryota; Metazoa; Chordata; Mammalia; Primates; Lemuridae
Source: RNAcentral
GUGCUCACUUCAGCAGCACAUGUACUAAAAUUGGAACACUACAGAGAAAAUUAACACGGCUGCUGUGCGAGGAUGACACACAGAUUCAUGAAGUGUUUCAUAAAAAA